RNAcentral lists this ribosomal RNA (574 nucleotides) under Gyrophaena fasciata. Its description in RNAcentral is "partial 16S ribosomal RNA". It matches the Rfam family "Bacterial large subunit ribosomal RNA", at positions 1916 to 2718 of the family's 2925-position model. The record is from RNAcentral. Lineage: Eukaryota; Metazoa; Arthropoda; Insecta; Coleoptera; Staphylinidae.
UGAGUAUUUGAAUGGCCGCAGUAUUUUGACUGUGCAAAGGUAGCAUAAUCAUUAGUUUUUUAAUUGAAAGCUGGAAUGAAAGGUUGGACAAGAAAGUAGCUGUCUCUUUAUAAAUUUGUUAGAAUUUUAUUUUUAAGUUAAAAAGCUUAAAUAUAUUUAAAAGACGAGAAGACCCUAUAGAGUUUUAUAAAAGUUUAUUAUUGGUUUUUUUUUAUAAUCAUUUAAAUAGAUAAUAUAUUUUAUUUUGUUGGGGUGAUGGGAAAAUUUUAUGAACUUUUUUUUAUUUAAAACAUAGAUAAAUGAUUUAUUGAUCCUUAAAUUAAGAUUAAAAGAUUAAAUUACCUUAGGGAUAACAGCGUAAUUUUUUUGGAGAGUUCAAAUCGAUAAAAAAGUUUGCGACCUCGAUGUUGGAUUAAAAUUUAAUUUUGGUGUAGAAGCUAGAGUUUUUAGGUCUGUUCGACCUUUAAAAUUUUACAUGAUCUGAGUUUAAACCGGUGUAAGCCAGGUUGGUUUCUAUCUUUAAAAUAUAAUAAUAUUUUAGUACGAAAGGACCAAAUAUUUAUAAUAGAGUUAU